Molecule: RNA transcript, 3292 nt
Organism: Oncorhynchus keta (chum salmon)
Lineage: Eukaryota; Metazoa; Chordata; Actinopteri; Salmoniformes; Salmonidae
Gene: rdh14a
Gene name: retinol dehydrogenase 14a
Exons: 3
Source: RefSeq, a predicted model, not a curated record
AAUGUAGUGCUUAGUCCAGUUGUUAUGGACUUCCACAGAGGUUCGUUUCUCUUCUCUUCGUGAUAAAGGUAGACAUUGCAGUCACCGAAUAGGAACUGUAUAACAUUUUCUAAAUCCACAGGCGCAACGUCGCGAUAUUUCCUGGAACGCUUCCUUAACAGACCAGGCAGGAGAUUUAGGGUUUGAGAAGUGAAAAAUGCUUCCUUAGUUCAUUUUCUCGAAAGCUAAAGGCACAACCUAGAUUGGAGCCAAUGUCUUUUAACAUGUUAUUACUCCAACCUCGUGAAAGUGACAAACUGACAAGUAAAAAAAAAUUAUAGUCAGAAAAACAACUGUAUAUCGAAGUAGGGGCUUUGAUUUUGACGGCCUGCACAUGGGAUGAAUAGAAGACUGUUUGACCCGAUGACGUGCUUCUACGCUUUGAGCUGAACUUGCCAACGUCGCCUGUACAAGUGUAAUCAGUUUUUUUCUUUUUAACUUGGAGAAGCACUUUUAGCCAAUCUUUAUACUGUACUGUAUUUGACUGUACCCUUCCAAAUGAUGCGUGGAAAAACUAUAAUAGUGACUGGUGCCAACAGUGGCAUAGGUAAAGCCACAACAGUUGAACUACUAAGGCGCGGGGGUCGGGUGAUCAUGGCUUGCAGGGACAUGAAGAGGACUGAGGAAGCAGCGCAGGACAUUCGACUGGAGACUGGUCCAGAUUCGGGAGAACUCCUCAUCAAGUGCCUGGACCUCGCAUCACUGAAAUCCGUGCACAGUUUCUGCGAAGACAUCAUCAAGGAAGAGCCCAGGAUUGACGUGCUGAUCAACAAUGCAGGGAUCUACCAGUGCCCUUAUACCAGGACGGAGGAUGGCUUCGAGAUGCAGUUCGGGGUGAACCACCUCGGCCACUUCCUCCUCACCCACCUCCUCCUGGACCUCCUGAAGCGCUCUGCGCCCAGCCGCGUGGUUGUGGUCUCCUCCAAACUCUACAAGUACGGCGAGAUCGACUUUGACGACCUGGAUAGCGAACGGCGCUAUGACAAGGCCUUUGCCUAUGGCCGAAGCAAGCUAGCCAACCUCCUCUUCACCUGCGAGUUGGCCCGCCGCCUGGAGGGGACGGGGGUGGCGGUCAAUGCAUUGACCCCGGGGAUAGUGAGGACUAACCUGGGCAGGCAUGUCAAUAUCCCCCUCCUGGCCAAGCCCCUGUGGGAGCUGGCAUCCAGGGCCUUCUUCAAGAGCCCAGAGGAGGGGGCGCAGACCUCGGUCUACCUGGCCUGCUCGCCCGACGUGAAGGAGGUCCAGGGGAAGUGCUUUGCGGACUGCCAGGAGCAGAAACUUCUGCCCAAGGCUACGGACCAAGAGGUGGCCAGGAAACUUUGGGAUAUUAGUGAAGUCAUGGUGGGCAUAACCAUGUGAUAAAGAACGUCAACCUUUCACUCCCUCCAAUUUGAACGCAAAGAGAGGACUUUGGACCUCUCAAAAAAGGUGAAGUGAACUAGCAAAAGGCAAGGGCAGUGUGAACGCAAAGAGGAGAGAGGUUUUUGUUACUUCGUACUGCAGAGAACUGUGCCCUGGAUGCCUGUUGCUAUGCAUUGUGAUUAGAUUGCCUUGACACAAUUAUUUUUCACUGGUAUGUUGUUAUACCAUGCCGGCAAUUAUAUUCAACUCUAAGUGAAGGGAGAUUGUUGCAAGUGACUUUAAUAAGGGUUCAUAGCUUUCACCUGGUCAGUCUGUUAUUUUCACUCUGUGUAUAAUGAUGUGUAUAGACAGUAUAUGAAUAGAAAAGGUGUGUACAGCAGUAGUUAUAUAGGAUGGUGUGUAUAGACAGUAGUUAUAUAGAAUGGUGUGUAUAGACAGUAGUUAUAUAGGAUGGUGUGUAUAGACAGUAUAUGAAUAGAAAAGGUGUGUACAGCAGUAGUUAUAUAGGAUGGUGUGUAUAGACAGUAGUUAUAUAGAAUGGUGUGUAUAGACAGUAGUUAUAUAGGAUGGUGUGUAUAGACAGUAGUUAUAUAGGAUGGUGUGUAUGGACAGUAGUUAUAUAGGAUGGUGUGUAUAGACAGUAGUUAUAUAGGAUGGUGUGUACAGCAGUAGUUAUAUAGGAUGGUGUGUAUAGACAGUAGUUAUAUAGGAUGGUGUGUAUGGACAGUAGUUAUAUAGGAUGGUGUGUAUAGACAGUAGUUAUAUAGGACGGUGUGUAUAGACAGUAGUUAUAUAGGAUGGUGUGUAUAGACAGUAGUUAUAAAGGAUGGUGUGUAUGGACAGUAGUUAUAUGGAUGGUGUGUAUAGACAGUAGUUAUAUAGGAUGGUGUGUAUAGACAGUAGUUAUAUAGGAUGGUGUGUAUAGACAGUAGUUAUAUAGGACGGUGUGUAUAGACAGUAGUUAUAUAGGACGGUGUGUAUAGACAGUAGUUAUAUAGGAUGGUGUGUAUAGACAGUAGUUAUAUAGGAUGGUGUGUAUAGACAGUAGUUAUAUAGGAUGGUGUGUAUGGACAGUAGUUAUAUAGGAUGGUGUGAAUGGACAGUAGUUAUAUAGGAUGGUGUGUAUGGACAGUAGUUAUAUAGGAUGGUGUGUAUGGACAGUAGUUAUAUAGGAUGGUGUGUAUAGACAGUAGUUAUAUAGGAUGGUGUGUAUAGACAGUAGUUAUAUAGGAUGGUGUGUAUAGACAUUAUGGACAGUAAAUUAAUAGAAAAUGUAUGUACAGCAGUAGAUAUAAAUAGGAUGAGCCAUAACUAGAAUGAGGUAUAUACAUUAACGUUCAAAAGUUUGGGGUGACUUGGAAAUGUCCUUGUUUUUGAAAGAAAAGCACAAAUAACAUCAAAUUGAUCAGAAAUACAGUGUAGACAUUAUUAGUGUUGUAAAUGACUAUUGUAGCUGGAAACGGCAUAUUUUGUAUGAGAUAUCAAUAUAGGCAUACAGAGGCCCAUUAUCAGCAACCAUCACUCCUGUGUUCCAAUGGCACGUUGUUAGCUAAUCAAAGUUGAUCAUUUUAAUAGGCUAAUUGAUCAUUAGAAAACCCUUUUGCAAUUGUGUUAGCACAGCUGAAAACUGUUCUGAUUAAAGCAAUACAACUGGCCUUCUUUAGACUAGUUGAGUAUCUGGAGCAUCAGCAUUUGUGGGUUCGAUUACAUGCUCAAAAUGGCUAGAAAAAAAUAACUUUCUUCUGAAACUCGUCAGUCUAUUUUUGUUCUGAGAAAUGAAGACUGUUCCAUGUGAGAAAUUGCCAAGAAACUGAAGAUCUGGUACAGCGCUGUGUACUACUCCCUUCACAAAACAGCGCAAACUGUCUCUAAUCAGACUAGAAAGAGUGGG